AUUGAACGCUGGCGGCAGGCCUAACACAUGCAAGUCGAGCGCGAAAAUUCCUUCGGGGAUGAGUAGAGCGGCGGACGGGUGAGUAACGCGUAGGAAUCUGCCCGGUAGUGGGGGACAACAGUCGGAAACGACUGCUAAUACCGCAUACGCCCUAAGGGGGAAAGCAGGGGAUCUUCGGACCUUGCGCUAUCGGAUGAGCCUGCGUCGGAUUAGCUUGUUGGUGGGGUAAUGGCCUACCAAGGCGACGAUCCGUAGCUGGUCUGAGAGGAUGAUCAGCCACACUGGGACUGAGACACGGCCCAGACUCCUACGGGAGGCAGCAGUGGGGAAUAUUGGACAAUGGGGGAAACCCUGAUCCAGCCAUGCCGCGUGUGUGAAGAAGGCCUCGGUUGUAAGUACGACUUACUAGUAGGUAGGAAAGGUAAGU
This 427-nucleotide ribosomal RNA is filed under the name uncultured bacterium. RNAcentral describes it as "bacterial SSU rRNA". It matches the Rfam family "Bacterial small subunit ribosomal RNA", at positions 30 to 461 of the family's 1533-position model. The record is from RNAcentral.